This 429-nucleotide ribosomal RNA is filed under the name Gemmatimonadota bacterium. RNAcentral describes it as "Gemmatimonadetes bacterium partial 16S ribosomal RNA". It matches the Rfam family "Bacterial small subunit ribosomal RNA", at positions 355 to 776 of the family's 1533-position model. Lineage: Bacteria; Pseudomonadati; Gemmatimonadota. The record is from RNAcentral.
UAGGGAAUCUUCGGCAAUGGACGAAAGUCUGACCGAGCAACGCCGCGUGAGUGAAGAAGGUUUUCGGAUCGUAAAACUCUGUUGUUAGAGAAGAACAAGGACGUUAGUAACUGAACGUCCCCUGACGGUAUCUAACCAGAAAGCCACGGCUAACUACGUGCCAGCAGCCGCGGUAAUACGUAGGUGGCAAGCGUUGUCCGGAGUUAGUGGGCGUAAAGCGAGCGCAGGCGGUUACUUAAGUCUGAUGUGAAAGCCCCCGGCUCAACCGGGGAGGGUCAUUGGAAACUGGGAGACUUGAGUGCGGAAGAGGAGAGUGGAAUUCCAUGUGUAGCGGUGAAAUGCGUAGAUAUAUGGAGGAACACCAGUGGAGAAGGCGGCUCUCUGGUCUGUAACUGACGCUGAGGCUCGAAAGCGUGGGGAGCAAACAGG